Long non-coding RNA from Bufo bufo (common toad), 275 nucleotides. RefSeq lists it as uncharacterized. NCBI's taxonomy places the organism in Eukaryota, Metazoa, Chordata, Amphibia, Anura, Bufonidae. The transcript has 3 exons. The record is from RefSeq and is a predicted model, not a curated record.
CUACAGAACAAACUAAAUCGGCGCGCCCAGUUUCAACCUCCGUUCAUCGAGGUAGAGGAGUUAGGGCAAGCCAGGAUCUCGUUUGAAUGCCGCCGAAAGAACAAACUACCUCGGCGUGCCCAUAUUUACCUUGUGUCCUCUGAGACACAAGUUGAGGAGUCAAGGAGAGCCAGGACAUUAUUUGAACGCUGCUUUUUUUGGACCAAGAUCAAACUACCACUGCGGCACAACCGUGUUCACCCUCUGUCCUCUGAGGCAGAGGAGUCAGGAAGAGG